This 73-nucleotide transfer RNA is filed under the name Phrynocephalus theobaldi (Theobald's toad-headed agama). RNAcentral describes it as "tRNA-Trp". The record is from RNAcentral. Lineage: Eukaryota; Metazoa; Chordata; Lepidosauria; Squamata; Agamidae.
AGAAGCUUAGGAUUAAACUUAUUAAACCGGUGGCCUUCAACGCCACAAACAAGGGGGGAGCCCUUAGCUUCUG